This 301-nucleotide ribosomal RNA is filed under the name uncultured bacterium. RNAcentral's name for it is "partial 16S ribosomal RNA". It matches the Rfam family "Bacterial small subunit ribosomal RNA", at positions 509 to 809 of the family's 1533-position model. The record is from RNAcentral.
CAGUCGCCGCGGUAAUACGAAGGGGGCUAGCGUCGUUCGGAUUAACUGGGCGUAAAGCGCACGUAGGCGGAUUCUUAAGUCAGAGGUGAAAUCCCAAGGCUCAACCUUGGAACUGCCUUUGAUACUGGGGAUCUCGAGUCCGGGAGAGGUGAGUGGAACUGCGAGUGUAGAGGUGAAAUUCGUAGAUAUUCGCAAGAACACCAGUGGCGAAGGCGGCUCACUGGCCCGGUACUGACGCUGAGGUGCGAAAGCGUGGGGAGCAAACAGGAUUAGAUACCCCUGUAGUCCCUGUCUCUUAUAA